This 499-nucleotide ribosomal RNA is filed under the name uncultured bacterium. RNAcentral's name for it is "bacterial SSU rRNA". It matches the Rfam family "Bacterial small subunit ribosomal RNA", at positions 791 to 1286 of the family's 1533-position model. The record is from RNAcentral.
UAGUCCAUGCCGUAAACGAUGUGUGUUAGACGUUGGAAAUUUAUUUUCAGUGUCGCAGCGAAAGCGAUAAACACACCGCCUGGGGAGUACGACCGCAAGGUUAAAACUCAAAUGAAUUGACGGGGACCCGCACAAGUAGUGGAGCAUGUGGUUUAAUUCGAAGAUACGCGCAGAACCUUACCAACACUUGACAUGUUCGUCGCGACUUUAAGAGAUUAAAGUUUUCGGUUCGGCCGGACGAAACACAGGUGCUGCAUGGCUGUCGUCAGCUCGUGUCGUGAGAUGUUGGGUUAAGUCCGGCAACGAGCGCAACCCACAUCUUUAGUUGCCAGCAGUUCGGCUGGGCACUCUAAAGAAACUGCCCGUGAUAAGCGGGAGGAAGGUGUGGAUGACGUCAAGUCCUCAUGGCCCUUACGGGGUUGGGGCUACACACGUGCUACAAUGGCGGGUUACAACGGGGCAGCGAAAGAGCGAUCUGGAGCUAAUCCCCAAAAACCGU